This 274-nucleotide ribosomal RNA is filed under the name uncultured bacterium. Its description in RNAcentral is "partial 16S ribosomal RNA". It matches the Rfam family "Bacterial small subunit ribosomal RNA", at positions 523 to 796 of the family's 1533-position model. The record is from RNAcentral.
AUACGGAGGGGACUAGCGUUGUUCGGAAUUACUGGGCGUAAAGAGUUCGUAGGCGGACUGAUAAGUAAGAGGUGAAAUCCCAGGGCUCAACCCUGGAACUGCCUCUUAAACUGUCAGUCUAGAGACCGGAAGAGGUUAGGGGAAUACCUAGUGUAGAGGUGAAAUUCGUAGAUAUUAGGUGGAACACCAGUGGCGAAGGCGCCUAACUGGUCCGGUACUGACGCUGAGGAACGAAAGCGUGGGGAGCAAACAGGAUUAGAAACCCUAGUAGUCC